This 259-nucleotide unclassified non-coding RNA is filed under the name Ascomycota sp. Its description in RNAcentral is "partial contains small subunit ribosomal RNA, internal transcribed spacer 1, and 5.8S ribosomal RNA". The stretch from base 1 to 47 matches the Rfam family "Eukaryotic small subunit ribosomal RNA", at positions 1785 to 1831 of the family's 1831-position model. Lineage: Eukaryota; Fungi; Ascomycota. The record is from RNAcentral.
AAAGUCGUAACAAGGUUUCCGUAGGUGAACCUGCGGAAGGAUCAUUAACGAGUCUGCGGAUCUACUCUCUGAGUGGUCUGCUCACCUCAUCUAUCUUGUGUUAUUUCUUGUCUUUGUUGCUUUGGCAGUUCUGCUUGCAGAAGUGUCAGGGGACAUGCAAAUCCAUAUGUAGUUCCUUUGAAAGAGGGGAGAGAAGUCGGUCAGAACGUUAUAUCUAAUUGUAUAUACAAAACUUUCAACAACGGAUCUCUUGGUUCUG